CCUACGGGUGGCAGCAGUGGGGAAUAUUGCACAAUGGGGGGAACCCUGAUGCAGCGACGCCGCGUGGGUGAAGGAGUAUUUCGGUAUGUAAAGCCCUAUCAGCAGGGAAGAACAAUGACGGUACCUGACUAAGAAGCACCGGCUAAAUACGUGCCAGCAGCCGCGGGAAUACGUAUGGUGCAAGCGUUAUCCGGAUUUACUGGGUGUAAAGGGAGCGCAGGCGGCGCGUUAAGCCUGGUGUGAAAGCCCGCGGCCCAACCGCGGGACUGCAGUGGGAACUGGCGCGCUGGAGUGCCGGAGGGGUAGGCGGAAUGCGUAGUGUAGCGGUGAAAUGCGUAGAUAUCAGGCGGAACACCGGUGGCGAAGGCGGCCUGCUGGACUGCAACUGACGUUGAGGCCCGAAAGCGUGGGGAGCAAACAGGAUUAGAUACCCUGGUAGUC
Molecule: ribosomal RNA, 441 nt
Filed under: uncultured bacterium
Lineage: Bacteria
Description: partial 16S ribosomal RNA
Rfam family: Bacterial small subunit ribosomal RNA
Source: RNAcentral